CUAGACCUUCUCUGUCCCCAAAUCUCUGUGGUAAUUAGAAAACAACCGAGAUCUUUUGACAUGACCAGUCAAGAAAAUGGAAACUGAAUGACUAAGUGGAAGAAAAUGUCUUUUAAGAGCUUUGGGAUAGAUGACAUGCUGCAAAGAAGCUGAAAAGAGAAAGAAGGAAUUGAGAACACUAGAAAUCUUCAAUACAUCUGUUCCCAUUUCCUAUCUGAUUGGUUACUGCCUACUGAGAUUCAGUUAAUCAUAUCCCUUGUGAUUCCUUCCCCCUACAACAACCUAAGAGCAAAAAAGGUAUUGUCAGAAUUGACCAGGGGACAGAGAGAAUGGAAUAAAGAAUAAAGUGGGCUGUACUGUCUUAGUGCCCUGGUGAGCACAGCUAACCAGCAUGAAGGAGGAAAUCAUCUGUUUCUGAUAGCAACUACUCCCUGCAGCAUUAUUUGUAUGUCCUUUGCCUUACUUAGGUCAAUUUGUGCUUUGAAAUCUAUUUAUUCUGAGUAUCCUCAUACACAGAUCCAGUGGUUUUAUCACAGUACUUACCUUUCACCUUCAUCGGGGCUUGAUGGAAGAGCAG
RNAcentral lists this long non-coding RNA (577 nucleotides) under Struthio camelus australis. RNAcentral's name for it is "lncRNA (ENSSCUG00000005538.1)". Lineage: Eukaryota; Metazoa; Chordata; Aves; Struthioniformes; Struthionidae. The record is from RNAcentral.